ACAUAGACAACCACCCUUUACCAGAAAAGACAGAAUUAAAAAUAAAACACAAAAUAAUGAAUGAUUCGAAACAGGGGAAUUUCAAAAAGGGAUAAUAAAUCCUCUAAAGCAGUGUGAUGCCUUCCAUUCUUGGAUAUAUUUUAAGUGAUGCGGCGACACAAGGUGAUGCCAUCACCAACAGGAAGCUGACAGAUUUCAAUUCUGGAAUCAGCAGCCAAGGCCUUGUUGAGUUCCAAUACGAAAUCCCUAUAAUACCUAACGUAUUUUCUGAGUGGUGCAUCAGGUGGUGCCACUACCGAUCCGUUCCAUAGGGUGUUGUCAUAGCCAAUUACUCCACCAAUCUUAACCAAGUCGAUUAAUCUCUUGUGAUAGUUCAAGUAAUUGUCCUUGUCAGCGUCCACAAAUAUGAAAUCGUAUGAUCCAUGAUAUUUUCCCUGUUAAUCAUCAACAUUAGCAGCAAUCAUACACAAGUUAUCAGUUCAUUCAUGAGAUUUUAUCUACUUACAUCUUCAAUCAUUUGGUCAAGAACAGGAAGUGCAGGGCCUUCUCUGAAUUCAAUUUUGUGAGCUAGACCAGCUUUUUCAAUCACUGGAAGACCAAUCUCAUAGUUAUCGCGGUUGAUAUCCAUGGCCAGAAUCUGAAUCAUCAAUUUUAGCAAAUUAGUACUCUACUAUUUAUAAUUAAUGAAGUUCAAUUAUGAUUUGUUAAUUACCUUGCCAUCAUCUGGAAGAGCCAUGGCAGUAGCAAGAAGAGAGUAACCAGUAAAAACACCAAUUUCCAUUGUGUUUUUGGCAUUGAUGAGUUUGAGAAGCAUAUUCAAGAAUUGCCCUUCAUCGGCGGAGGUGGUCAUAAGGUUCCUGUUUUUUCCAUCAAAGAAAGAUAUCAGCAUACAAUAUUUUAAGUAUCCAAUUGGAUGAACUAAAUUGAGAAAAUGAGUUGUUACCAAGGGUGUUUUGCAGUAAUCUCUCUUAGCUCUUUCAUGGCUUCAGGCUCUCUCGGGUACACGCUUGUUUCAAGAAUGUACUGUUCAAACACAAAUCAAACAAUUCAUUAGGAUCAACAUGUUAGUAAUUACUAAUUAAUAUCUUGUAUGUGACCUUUAAUUUACCUGAUAAAGGGCAUCACUUUGCAAGAGACUCUUGUGUCCAACUUCUUGGUGUCUACUAUUUUCUCCAUUGCUUGUCAUUGAUAACUGCUUAAAGUAUCUUGUUGUUUCUGAAAUAGAUAAAAAGUGUUUAAAGUAAAAGCAAGCAACCUGCUUUUGUAGAGAUGAAAAUGGCUUAAUUUAUAGUAGAAGAAAACAAGAGAGACAUGAGGGGUUUGGUUGGCUGAAAAUGAUUGGAAGUUGGUGAACUCUCCUACUCUCCUUCCUCCUUUAAUUAAAUUUGUCCAAUUGACCAACUCCUUUUUUUGACUACCUAACAAUACCCACCACCAGCCUCUCACUUUACUAAUUUUAAAUUAAGCUACUUUCCUUGACAAAUUCAGAAUGAAACGUAUUCUCUAUUUGAAGAGAGUCGUGUCAAUUGGAAAUUUCUAACAUUUAACGCAUUGUAUAUGCUUUCUUAAGAAAGCUCUAGGAUUAAUAGCUCUGUAACACAAUGAUAAGUAAUAUUACAAGUAUUUGGUUGAGCAAUGACAUAAAACUGGUAAUUUUAUGUAGUUGUUGUCUUACAAAUAAUGGGCAUGAAUUAUUUUACUAUGAGAGUCCAGCAUAAUAAAAAUCAUCUUAGCUGACAAGGAUCCAGAAAAGGAGUUAAGUUUGCUGGUGUUUGUUCAAGUGAAGAAUAUUUUCUAAGAAGACAUUGUUAAAAGUAUAAUAAUUAUUUAUUUUGAGGAUGAGAAAUUCAAGACUGUGUUGUAUUCUUUUAAUUUAUCAAAACUCAAAUGGUAUUACUAAUUGUUUUUGACAACAAAUUUCUGGGAGUUAUCUUAUUCUGGCGUUAGUCAAACUUGACUCAUCAAAAAAGUUCAACAAUAUAACACUAAAUGCACAAAUAGAAAAAUGUUACCGCUCCGUUUUAUUUUAUACAACGACCAUAAGUAAAUUUAAAAAGAGAGACUUUUGAUACACACCAAUAGUAUAUUUAUAAUUUAUGGUUUUAAAUAUACCAUGGUAAUUAUAUAGCUAUAAGAGCAUGACAUUGACAGUAAAACGAAAAGUUCUAAAAAAAAAUAAAAAAAAAUGUGUCACGGAAAAUUAAUUAAUUAAAGAGAAUAGACUUUGAUAUUACUAUCACAAUCACAUUGCCAAGUGUAAUUUGGUUGUAUGUAUGGUGUGUUUUUCCGACGCGACUCUGUCUAGUGUGAUUGAAAUGAAGCAACAUAAACUCGUCCAAUCAAGGCAAACACCCAGAAUCUCAGUACAAAAUGUAAUCUUUUUACUAGAAAACAGAAGUGGAAAAAAGAGAAGAUAAAAUAAGGAAUGAUUCAAAACAGGGAAAUUCUAAAAACAAUAGUAAAUCCUCCAUUGCCAUGAGCUAGUCCAGUAGUUCCUUUCAUAGAUUAUAGUAGUAUUUAUUUAACUAAUGCGGCGACAAAGGGUAAUGCCAUCACCGACGGGAAGCUGGCAAAUUUCGAUUCUAGGAUCAGCAGCCAAGGCUUUGUUGAGUUCCAAUAUGAAAUCCCUAUAAUACCUAACAUAUUUCCUUAGCGGUGCAUCAGGUGGUGCCACCACUGAUCCAUUCCAUAGAGUGUUGUCAUAGCCAAUUAAUCCACCAACCUUCACCAACUCUAUUAAUCUUUUGUGAUAGUUCAAGUAAUUGUCCUUGUCAGCAUCCACAAAUAUGAAGUCAUAUGAUCCAUGGUAUUUGCCCUGUUAAUUGUUAAAACAACAUUAUUCAAAAAA
This 2848-nucleotide long non-coding RNA is filed under the name Solanum tuberosum (potato). Its description in RNAcentral is "long non-coding RNA (STUB_LNC003218)". The record is from RNAcentral. Lineage: Eukaryota; Viridiplantae; Streptophyta; Magnoliopsida; Solanales; Solanaceae.